UAUCAACAGCAUGGUAUCGAUUUU
Molecule: non-coding RNA, 24 nt
Filed under: Rattus norvegicus (Norway rat)
Lineage: Eukaryota; Metazoa; Chordata; Mammalia; Rodentia; Muridae
Source: RNAcentral